UACAAACGGCUCGUAAGCCACUGCAUUCACAAGCUUCUGCUCGAUCAUGGUUGCCAUGGACAUCCCCGUCGCCGCCGGUAAAGAACACGACGACCUAGGUGGUUGUAACAUGUGUUUGUUCCUAUGUUCCGUACUAGGUUUAGUGUUAGUACUCCGCCGCCUUUUGGGUUGUUCUUCAGGAACAAUAACCUCUUUCUUUGGUGGUUUGACUUGUUGUUUCCUCUCUGGUAACCAUCUGAGAAAGUCCCUUCGACAGACCCAUGUUUCUUCAGGUUUAGUGUCAGUACUCCGCCGCCUUUUGGGUUGUUCUUCAGGAACAAUAACCUCUUUCUUUGGUGGUUUGACUUGUUGUUUCCUUUCUGGUAACCAUCUGAGAAAGUCCCUUCGACAGACCCAUG
This 398-nucleotide long non-coding RNA is filed under the name Nicotiana benthamiana. RNAcentral describes it as "long non-coding RNA (NBEN_LNC033134)". The record is from RNAcentral. Lineage: Eukaryota; Viridiplantae; Streptophyta; Magnoliopsida; Solanales; Solanaceae.